UACAGAGGUCUCAAGCGUUAAUCGGAAUUACUGGGCGUAAAGCGUGCGCAGGCGGCUUUGCAAGACAGAUGUGAAAUCCCCGGGCUUAACCUGGGAACUGCAUUUGUGACUGCAUGGCUGGAGUGCGGCAGAGGGGGAUGGAAUUCCGCGUGUAGCAGUGAAAUGCGUAGAUAUGCGGAGGAACACCGAUGGCGAAGGCAAUCCCCUGGGCCUGCACUGACGCUCAUGCACGAAAGCGUGGGGAGCAAACAGG
RNAcentral lists this ribosomal RNA (253 nucleotides) under uncultured bacterium. RNAcentral describes it as "partial 16S ribosomal RNA". It matches the Rfam family "Bacterial small subunit ribosomal RNA", at positions 524 to 776 of the family's 1533-position model. The record is from RNAcentral.